AAAUCAAAACCUUAUUGAAACGAUAACGAUAAGCAUAUGUACAAAUCAAUAAUCGAUAAGUAAUUAUCGAUAAGAGUCAAAAUCGAAUUGAUAAAACGAAUGCACACCCCUACUUAAAAUAAAUGAACCCUAGUCAUGGUUUAACACAAUACAUUGCAGCAGUUCAGCUCAUAGCCAUAUUCCAACAGUAAUUAAAUAACACAUAGUUUGACAAAAAACCAAACAAUAGUCACAACACUGAAAACUUGACAGAGUAAACAAGUACUUUCAUCACUCAAACAAGAACUGAAAUUUACAUUAUUUGAUCAAGGGUAAUACCUUAGUAGUAGCAAGAAGCAAAGAAAUAGAAAAUAAGUGUUUGAACUUGAGAAAGAGUAAAGCAACAAAAAAAGCAGCAACAGAAAACCAACAAGAGCAAAGAACCAACAACAAAAGAAGCUAAAGAAAACCCAACUUUAAGAAACCCCAUAAAGUUUUUCUACUCAGAAAUGAAGAUGAGUGGCAUGGAAUUUUUGAAAAUCUAGCCAAUUUGGUAAAAGUCAUUCUCCAAAAUGAAGAAAAAGAAUAAAUUUUCAUAAUGUACUUCGUGUGUCCAAAAUCUGUCCUUUUUGUAAGAGGGUCAAGAGUCUUAUAUAGAAUAUGCUCAAUUUCACAUGUGCACAAGCUAAGAAAGGAAUUAUUUUUUAGCAAAACACGCUUGAAUUUCCUGGGGGGAAAAGCAUCUUUUUAACAGAUUUUAUACAGUUGACUCUUGGAUAUUUUCUAUUUUAAUAUCUUAUCUCAAGCAAUUGGGACAGUUGUUCAUCACUCGACGUUUCCAAGCAUUUACUAAAGAUUCUUUCAAGUUAGAACCCUCAAAUUAACCGUUUAGUAUUUUUAAAAUUGCCUCAGAACCAAACCUGAUUCUAGGCUUGAGUCGUGUGACUCUGAUCCAAAGACCCUCCACCCCCCNNNNNNNNNNNNNNNNNNNNNNNNNNNNNNNNNNNNNNNNNNNNNNNNNNNNNNNNNNNNNNNNNNNNNNNNNNNNNNNNNNNNNNNNNNNNNNNNNNNNNNNNNNNNNNNNNNNNNNNNNNNNNNNNNNNNNNNNNNNNNNNNNNNNNNNNNNNNNNNNNNNNNNNNNNNNNNNNNNNNNNNNNNNNNNNNNNNNNNNNNNNNNNNNNNNNNNNNNNNNNNNNNNNNNNNNNNNNNNNNNNNNNNNNNNNNNNNNNNNNNNNNNNNNNNNNNNNNNNNNNNNNNNNNNNNNNNNNNNNNNNNNNNNNNNNNNNNNNNNNNNNNNNNNNNNNNNNNAGCCCUCAUUUGACAAAACUAACAAUUGAAUUUAUGGGCCUGCCUAUCACACAAACAUGCCCAACUCUGAGCUAAAUUAAACGGACAAAUCAAUUGAGGCCCAAAGUCAAAAAUGGACGAUACCAAAAUCCGAGACAAAUCAACAAACAAUUAUACUACACUAGAACAUGUAUUUAACUGUUAACCUAAAUAUAGAAUUAUUCAAAUUAACAAUCAAACACAAACCAACAAUCAGAAAAAACCUAAUAGGGAACUACGAAGAGAACAGAAUUAUCCAUUAAGGCAGAGGAUGAUAGGACAUAAGUGUAUCGAUCUUCAAACCUGUGGGCGACGAUUUGACUGGGUUCCAGUGGUUUUGAAAUGAACUAAGACUAACAUUAAUUAGUUUUUCUUGUUAAGAAGAAUUAACCAAUGUGAAUUUUAGGUCAAAAUAAAUAAAUUCACCAAAGAAAUUCAAAAAAGGAAAAUUUGGGUUUCUAGGAUUUCUGAGAUUUGAAAUCUAGGGAAUUCUAGUGAGAAUUGGGAAAUGAAUCUGGGAUGUUUUGAAAUAGGAGGGGAUGUGGAGUGUAGGGUAAAAUUUUGGGAUGGUUUGGAGAUUGUCUGCUGCCGUGAGAUGAUUUCUUGAAGGCGGCGGGCGGUGGGAAUUUGAGAGAGGUAAGAGAUAGAGAGACUAAUAAUUUGGGGGUGAAUUUUGAGAUAUUUUUAUUAUAAUAGGGUCUUAGUUAGGAGCCGUCAAAUCAAAAUGUACGAUCGAAAUCACUUGACACUCAAACGGUGACGUUUGAUUUAAAUGGGAGCUAGACCAGAUUUUUAGGUCUAGGCUGGGACAUGCAUGAAGGGAAACUGGGCCAUUGGAGCUUUUGGCCCAGUUAUAAACAAGACUAACACUUCUUUAAUUCUUUAUUUUAUUUUUUAAAAUUUUAAAAAAAUAUAGUCAAAUUAAUUAAACACCAAAACUAAUUUCUAAAUCAAAUAUAAAUUAAAAUUAAUCCUAAUUACUUAUUUUUUAUCAUUUGAACACUAGAUUAAUUCAAAACUAAUGAAAUAAAAUUACUAAUUUAAAGCUAAUAUGUGAAAUAGAGUUAUUUAUGUGAUUGUUUCAAUAAUGAAAGUAACUUAUGCAAUUAAAUUCGAAAUGCAAUUAAGGCCUAAAAAUGAUAUGUAAUGAAAAUUUGGAUAUUUUUUGGUAUCUAUGAUUUAAAAAGCACAUGAAAAAUGCAACUAAAUACAAACAAUUAAUUAAUAAAAAUUUCUACAAAUUCUAUUAAAAUUAAAAACAAUUAAGGAAAAAAGUAUUUGUGAAUUUUGUAGGAGUAUUUUAGUCUGGAAAAAGUUACCUGCUGACAAAUACUAUUGAUUUCCAAUCCCUGGCAACUGCGCGAAAAUAUGACGAGCGCAAAACACAAUACGAAAUUGAUGCUCGCUAGCCAAGGAUGGUAUAGUUUAAUAUUCGUCCUCACAAGGAUUGAAUUUAAAUAAUGUUCAGGUAAUUUCUAGCUUAACCCAAUUCAGGAUGAUUAACACUUUGGUUGGGAUGAUUAAUAACUAAAAUAAACUACGAAAACUAAUGCAAUUAAUAAUUGAUCACAGAAAGACAAGAGUUGAGCAAUACUGAAAUAAUCAAUGAGAGAAAUAAGGAUCGUAGCAGGAUAGGUGCAAGAUAGCUAUUCGGGUCUAGCUCUAGUUCAAUUCACUAUGAUAUUCUAAUGAUUCUUAUGAAUUCACUCGAUGAUCAAUUCAAAGAUGUAGCCAAGUCUCCUCUCGAUUAAAUCUUAACUCUACGAGGUGAACUAAUACAAUACCCUGUGAAAAAUAUGCAAAACCUCGUUUAAUGGAUUAGUCCUUAGAAAAACAUCUCUCGAAAAUUUUCUAACUUGAUUUAAUUAAUAAUUCAACAAGCUCAUUUGAUUACUUAGCAGAAUCACUAGAUUAAACCAAAUAAAAUAACACGAAGAUAAACACCAAAAUAUUCCUGUUCCGAUUAAAUAAAGUGGUUACUAAAAUUUCAUUCAAUUAAAAGCUCCAUAAAUGAAUUCAUGCAAAGAACUAGAGUUAAAUCUACAAAGUUAAAUCAAAUACCAUAUUUAUCAAACUCUACGGUAAACUACUCUAUAAUCAUGGAGAAAAUAGCCAUAAACAAAGUUGAAUAAUAAAAAACAUGAAUUCAAACUAACAUCGGGUGUUGAAUUAAGGAAAGAAUGAUGAAUUCUUGUAUUUUGAGUAUUCAAUGCUAUUCCCAUCUUCUGUAAGUCAAAAAUCCUCUAAAAAUUAUGCUUUUGGUGUAUUUACACCAUGUUAGAACGAGCACAAACGAAACUAUCCUUUUCAAGCCGAAGUGGAAAAUUUUGGAAACUAUUUUGUACUAGCUCCCCGCGCACGAAGCAUGGUAGUUUAUUUUUUCCAGAGUAAGUAUUUUUCUUAAUUUUCUAAAUCCAAACUUGGUCCUCGAACCUCGAACACAAUCCCAGCUUAAUUCUUUAGGUUUCUACUCAGAAUUCAGAGCUUCAAUUCAUUCAUCUUAGCUCUAAACUUUCUUCUCAACUCGAAAUCGCAUUCUACACCAAUAUUUUAAAAUGGCGAGGCCUAAGGUGAGGUGUUUUACCUCUAAUGAAGUGAUGCGUAAGUCCUAAGACAUGGGCGUAAGUCCCAUUGAUCUUUAAAUUUACUAAUUUCAACAAUUUUAAGAUUAUAAAAUAAAAAAUAAUUAUUAAAAUUGUAUUUAAAUCAUAAAAUUAUAACAUAUAAUCUGUUUAAAAAAUUUAUAAAUUAUAAUUCAACUAUUAAUGAUACAAAAAGUAUGACAUAUGUAAUAUGUAAAAUAGUUGCAAUAUCGUUACAACUCAAACAUCAAAAGUAAUGUAUUUGAUGCGAAAUCUUAUACUUAUCUCUUAAGGAUUAAGGAAUCUUGAAAGAAUUUCGAUAUUAUACUUUGAAUUUUUUUUAAAUACUUCUUUUAUCUAAUGUGUUUUCUAUUUGAAAGAGAACUUGUAUAAAAACACAAUUCACAAUAAAUAUAAUUCUCUAGCAUAGUUUCAACAAGUACAAGUUAAUAAAGUGACAUAUAAUUCACCAUACUAUACCAUGAUAACUAAUUAUUUGUAAAUAAUUACUAGCUAAUACUGAGCUAUUAAACUAGUAAGUGUUACUUUGUAAACGUAAAAAAAGAAAAAUUAAGAAAAAAAUUUCAAAACUUUUUUGGGCUAUUAUAUAAUAAAGGCAUAAAAAAAAGUUAAUAAUUAAAUACUUUUUAAAUGAUAGAUUUAAUCUAAAUUUACUAUGAUAGAAAUUUUAGUGGAUGCCGUACAAUGAUUUUUAUUUAUUACGACAUAAAAUACUCUCAACUUAAUGAUUUAUAAUUAUGAAAAAGUAAUUUUGAAUAUUCAACGAUUUAUUAAGAAAAUUUGAGGAUUUAGAAAGUUAGUUCCACACAAUUGCGUAAAGUUCUAGUAGGCAAGCCCAAUACGCUGGGUGUUGGAUGUGUAUGGGGCAUAAGCACCCACGACCGGGGCGUAAGUCUUACGGAACUAAGCCCUACAUACAAGUUCAAGGGUGUUUACGAGUGCUCCAUCCCUGGGCGAGUUCCGGACGAGUCCUAAUUCUACCUUUUAAGACAGAAUCCUAUACAACAUAGCCACUUAUUGAAAUAAGAUUUGAACAAUUUAGAUCAAGUGAUGAAAAACUAAUAAAUCAGAAGUCAGAUGCUAUUUUCUAGAUUAAUUGGAAUCAUUUAAACAAGGUCGAGGUCUAUUAAGUUUUGUAACCAUUGCGGCCAAAGAGGUUCCACAUCCAAAAAUUAGAGCUAUGCAGGGUCGAUAAUCUUCAAAGAGACUUUCUGCAAGUUGGAGGCUGCAAGUUAAGAUGAAUAGUAAAAGAGAUGGUUGUAGGAUCAAGGUUGUGAAAGAGACACGUGUCACAUAGCGACUAGGGAGCGUUGAGAAUUAAUGACAAUAUUGAACAUGUCUCUACAAGGGACUUGUAUAAACUGCAGUUCUUUCCAAGCAAAAGCAAAGCCUUAAAAGGGCAUAGGAAAACAGGCUAGCGAGUGCUUUAGUUUAAACUCGUCAUUAAAAACAUGGCUUCUAAACCAGGCAUUCUAACAGAAUGGCCAUGGACAUGGCUUGGGAACUUCAAGGUAUAUACGUACUCAUCUUCCUUCUCAUGUCUUCUCUUGAAUUUUCCAUCUGAUUUAUUCUCACUUUAUAGUCCAAAUAUCUAUGUAUACUAAACUAAAGACGCGGCAUUGCAGCAAGUGAAGGAUGGUGUUGUCAGUUGAACACCUUUCGUAGGAAAAUAAGACCGUGUAUAUAGGCCAAAUUCUACUUUUGUAUAUUGGCCAAAAUUUUGAAUACUUGAGCAUCCUUAAUGAAAUUCGGAAUUUCGCCAAUGCUAAAUUAUACAGUAAAACAUAUAUGGUUAAGUAGUUGGAUUUUAAGAAACUAUCUUCUUAUUUUCUCUCACUGUUGCUAAAAAACCUAUUCCUUGAAUAUAUCCAAUAAGCAAGACAAAUAUGUAGCAAUCGUGCAUAUUGUACAGUGUAGGAAUAAAAAUAAUAUUACAAUCUGAUAACUACUUCAAGAAUUAAUUAUAUCACACUUUUUUCUCAAUAUCUCAAAUUUAAUUUGAAAAUUAGUUAUUCUCUACCACUUGUACCAAAAGAGCCCCAAUUAUUUUGGCAGUCUACCUUUGUAGUGGGAUUUUAAUUCUAACACAUUAAAAUUCUGUGCCACUUAUGGAGGACUGCACGUUAUGAAGGCCCCCAAAGAUGCACCUAACAAUAAACAAGAACCUGAGAGCAACAAAGAACUGCAUGUUAAAUUCCAUUUGAUUACAAAAAUAAAUAAAUAAAGGCAAUAGUGUAGAAAAAAAUGAAAGAGCAAUAUAAUUGGCUAUUUGUGACUCUUUAAAUGGGUCUACGUAUAUAGGUAGUGACAAAACUUCAAGUUCUUAACAUAGAAAAUAAAUGGAGUAGCUAAUAGCUCAUGAUUUUUUAAGAAUAAUAAAUUUAAAUAGUCGUUCAUCCGACCGCUUAGACUAAAAAUAAGCAACAUAUACAUAUAAUAUUUGUAUAUCCACAUAUAAUAUGUAUAUCCUGUUAAAUCUUUGUGUACCGCCUAAAAAAAAUAAAAAGUGAAUAUGGCUGAUUAUUUCUCCCUUAACAACAUAUAAACAAAAGUGCAAUUAUUAUGUUAGAUGGUUAAUUUAAUCCAUAUUUUCUAUGCCACUUUGCACCAAUAUAACAAUGGAAAAAAACCAUGUAUUAAUGCCUUAUAACGUUAUUUCUGUGUUUUGGCAGCUGUGAUUCAUCCAUUUGCAGAGCAUAUAUCAUACUUCUUGCUAUUUGCCAUACCACUUCUCACAAGUGUGCUAACUGGGACUACUUCAAUAGUUUCAUUCUGUGGAUAUAUUACUUAUAUUGAUUUUAUGAACAACAUGGGCCAUUGCAACUUUGAGAUAAUUCCAAAAUGGAUGUUCUCCAGCUUUCCUCCUCUCAAAUACUUGAUGUAUACACCCUCGUAAGUCUCUUAUUCCUCUAUUGAUAAUAUGGUUGUCUUAUCUUUUUUAUAUAUCUUCAUUUGGUGCAUCAAUAUAUUCUCCUUUAUUUGUCCAACUUCUGUAUUCACGUAGCUAGCAAUGUUUCUUUGGAAAUUUAGGAAGAUCUUAAGCAUUAAAAAAUUGACAGAUAGCAAGUCUAAACUAGCCCUUAUGAGUUUGUAAAAUCAAUAUUAUAGUCUCAGAAAGUAGAAUAUAUAUCAACGUAGAUUUUUGAAUUAAAAAUUACUCGAGGAAAGACGAACUUUAUUAAAAUAAAAGUUUUUAAAUUUCCGUAAAGAAUUAAUUGAAUCACAUAAGAAAUUUUUUAUUUUGCAUCUCACACAAGUGACAUUAGUUGUGUAAGGUUUUGAAUUGUUUCACAGCAAAGUGGAUCAAUUCUUACACAUUUAGGUCCAAUUUAUUAUGAGACAAAACAAAGUCCUGCACAAAUAAUGUCAGCUUUGUGAUCCACAUAAUAAAGUUAGGUUCUAGCUUCCAACUUUCUCAAAAAUUUUAUUUUCCUUCGGCUAAUUGUAGUUAUUUAAUUGCACAGGUACCAUUCACUCCAUCACACACAAUUUAGAACAAACUAUUCACUUUUCAUGCCAAUGUACGAUUACAUCUACGAUACGCUGGACAAAUCUUCAGACACAUUAUACGAAAAAUCAGUCGAAAGGCAAGGCAAAUCGCCAGAUGUAGUGCACCUAACACACCUAACAACCCCAGAAUCCAUUUACCAUCUCAGGCUAGGAUUUGCUUCUUUAGCCUCAGAACCUUACACUUCUAAGUGGUAUUUUUGGUUAAUGUGGCCUGUUACAUUGUGGUCUAUGAUGGUUACUUGGAUUUAUGGUCACACAUUUACUGUUGAGAGAAAUGUGUUCAAAAGUCUGAAUUUGGAAACUUGGGCAAUCCCAAAAUAUCGCAUACAAGUAAGUAUUUGUAAUAUUUAUCGACAUUUUCACUAUGUUCACUAUUGAAGUAUUUAUUUAUUUUUGGCCUAUUUUUGGUUUCAGUAUUUUAUGCAAUGGCAAAGAGAGACGAUUAACAAUUUAAUUGAGGAAGCUAUCAUGGAAGCAGACCGAAAAGGCAUAAAAGUGUUGAGCCUUGGACUCUUAAAUCAGGCGAGUAACAUACUCCUUUUUUGUAAUUCAUGUGGCAAUAUCAAUCUUUUUGAGUGUCAGGAAUCUGAAUUUGCAAACUUGGGCGAUCCCAAAAUAUCGCAUACAAGUAAGUAUUUAUCCUAAUAUUUAACGACAUUUUCACUAUGUUCACUUUUCAAGUAUUUAUUUAUUUUUAGCCUAUUUCUUGAUUUGGUUCCAGUAUUUUAUGCAAUGGCAAAGAGAGAUGAUUAACAAUUUAAUUGAGGAAGCUAUCAUGGAAGCAGACCGAAAAGGCAUAAAAGUGUUGAGCCUUGGACUCUUAAAUCAUGCGAGUAACAUGCUCCUUUUUUUGCAUUUUAUGUGGCAAUAUCAAUCUUUUUGAAAGUCAAUCAGGUUCUUUUUUACCAUGCCUUUGGAAAAUAUUUUAAAAAUAAUUUAAAUUAUUAACUAUUAUGGUUAUAGUACUAUUUUUGUAAUUUCUACAUAAAUUUAUAUCCGAAUUCACACAAAAGAUAGAGUACUUUUACCCUCCUACCACGAACCUUACCAUUAAGGAACAUAGGAAGUGUUAAGGACCUGUUUGAUCGUAGAUUUUGUUAAGUUUUUUCCAAAUAUUUUUGGCAAAAUCUAUUUAUUUAUAUAUUUAUCCAAAUUUUGGCAAAUUUUGAAAACAAAAUUCCCAAAUCCUAAAACUAGCUCUACACCUGUUUUUGGCCCAAAAUAUACCUUUGAAUUUUUUAACAAUUUAAAAAAUUACCCCAAACUUUUAUAUAUUAUAAAAAGCACACCAUCUAUUAUGACGCAACUAAUCCAUCAGCUGGUUACUAUCAUUUUUUUCUAGAACGGUUGGAUAUUGUAAUAUUAUUACAAUUUGAAAAUCUAUGGUCAAACGCUAGCUACGAUUCAAAUAAUGCCUAUUUGUACUUUUUACUUUCAGAAAUUUAAUUUCUAUGUGAUAGUCAGCUCUGAUGCCUCUAUACAUGAAAUUUUACAGGAGGAGCAACUGAAUAAUAAUGGUGAGCUUUACAUAAGAAGGCAUCCUGAGCUCAAAGUGAAGGUGGUUGAUGGAAGUAGCCUAGCUGUUGCUGUGGCCCUAAACUCUAUUCCUAAAGGAACUACACAAGUGGUCCUUGGAGGCCAUUUGUCGAAAGUUGCAAAUGCCAUUGCCCUUGCCUUAUGCCAAGGGGGAGUCAAGGUCUCUUUAAUUGUAAAAAUCAAACACUUUAUUUGCUCACAUAGUGUCCUUUUUCUCAUUUAUUUUGAUUGUGAUAGGUCGUGACAUUGAGAGAAGAAGAGUACAAGAAGCUCAAAUCAAGUCUUACACCCGAAGUCGCAACUAAUUUGGUUCCCUCAAAAACAUAUGCUUCAAAGGUACAAAUAACAAAAAACAAUGAAAUUAGAUUGUUAAUCUUGAUUAUUUAUUAAUGAGUUUAAGUUACCAUCGGUCUAAGAAUUUUCUACACCAGUAGAUCAUUUUUAUCUAUUAUAGGUGGUAGCUUGUUUUAUUUUCAAGAUUAUAGAUCUUACAUUUUACGAAAGCUCACCUAUAUAUAAAUAUUACCUUUAGAUAACAACGUAUAUGACUUAAACUCUUUGUUAAAAAUAAAACCUCGAUUUAUACUAUUUGAAACCCCACCUUCACUCCCGCCCAAAAAAAAAAGUAAAAUAAGAAGAACAAAGAGAAAAAAAAAGAUUUGAAAAUAAAGAAAGUUACUGCACUUAACAAAGCAUUGAAUUGCAGAUAUGGCUAGUAGGUGAUGGAUUGAGAGAAGAUGAACAAUUGAAAGCACCAAAAGGCACAUUAUUCAUUCCCUUUUCACAAUUCCCGCCAAGGAAAGCUCGCAAGGACUGCCUCUACUUUCACACACCAGCCAUGAUCACUCCAAAACACUUUGAAAACGUGGACUCCUGUGAGGUAAUAAUAUUCUAAAUUCCCUUUGUUUUUUCUUCUUUUUUCAGUUUCACUAAAAAAAAAUCAAUUUUUUCUUUUAAUAAAACAAUAGAAUUGGCUUCCAAGAAGAGUGAUGAGCGCAUGGCGAGUAGCUGGAAUAUUGCACGCACUGGAAGGCUGGAAUGAGCACGAGUGUGGGAACAUGAAGUUUGAUAUUGAGAAAGUCUGGAAAGCAAGUCUUGAUCACGGUUUUAGACCAUUGACUACGGCUUUUGCUUCUGAAUCCAAGGCUUGAGUUAGACAUUUGUGUUUGUAGUUACUAGCUUGAGUUUGGUGGCAUAUGAGCUUAUUAUUAAAAAUGCAUACUAUAUAAAGUACCAAUUUGAUGUCAAAUCUUGUUGUUCCUAUUAUAUAAGACCUUUUUCAUUUUUUUUUAAUUAUCAAUUUCGUUCUCCGAAUGUAUUAGUACUAGAUUACGUGAUCUAUUACAUAUAUAAGAUCAAGCUUUGUAAGAAAUAUAAACAAAUGAGUGGUUGAUGAAAUAUUUGUGAGUACAAAGCCAUUCACUAAAAAGAAAAAGGACUGAUUCUGCCGCUAAUUAAGUUUAAUGACGACGACAACAACAAUAACAAUAAUAACAAGUUUAAUGACGAAUUAUAAAAAUAAAUCCCGUUAGCGACGGGUUAUAUACCGAUAUGCCAAUUCCUAAUUUUUAGUGGUUGGAUAUACUAAUAUAUUAUCUUUUUAAGUUAGAGUGGAAUAGGGGAAUAGAAUUGGAUUGUCUGGUAGGUGUAGGAAGGGAAUUUUAUAAAGAUUAUGCAGGAAAAUAGUGUUGUUCUAUUGAAAGCUUUAUUCAAGAGAGAAGGCAAAGGUUCAAAAUCUUCUAUUUUAUAUGUACUAAUUUAUGUGGAGUAAAUUAUUUAAAUAGUCACUCAAUUAUCAUAAAUUAUCUUAUAAAGUUAUUUUACUUUCGUUUGUAUCAACAAAGUUACUGAACUAUGCAUCUUGCACUCAAAGGUCACUCAACUAAAUUUUUCAAAGUUCGGAUUGCCAAAUACGUAUUUUACCAUUUAAAAUAUAAACAUUUAUCUUCUUCUUAUUUUUUUUAAAAACUUUUUAAUAUCAUGAUCUUACUUUUCUAAUUUAUAUUGGACUUACCUAUAGAAUAAAUAAAUAUUAUUUAUAAAUUAAAAAAAAGUACUUAAGCUUAUAUAAUACUGGAAUAACAAAAUAAUGAGCGUAGUAAAAAAUAUUAAUUAGAAUAAUUUGUUAGUAAUAAUAAUUUAGUGUUUACAACAAAAAUACAAAAAAUUAUUUACACAAUUUAGAAUGAAAGAAAAUAAAGGUUGUAAAAUAUUUAUUUCAUGCACGUAAUAUAAAAAUAAUUAUUUAAAUAAAGGUAUUUAAUAAUAUACAUUAUAUAUUCUUGAAAAUUAUGCUCAAUUAUGAGCAUAAAAAAUAGGGUUGUUUGCUUUAGAAGAUUAUUCGCUUGCAUGGUAUACAUGUUUCUAUCAUCUCAGAUGGUGGUACUCAAUUUAUAUCUUACUUUUGGAGAGUAGUUCAGUGUGAUGUGGUCACGCGGGUGGACUUAAGUACUCUUUUCACCCUCAAACAAACGGGUAGUCUGAGUAGAGCAUUCAGAUCUUGAAGGAUAUGUUGAGGACCUGUGUAUUUGAUUUUGGAGGAUAUUGGGAUCAGCUUCUAACUUUGGCAGAAUUUGCCUACAACUACAACUACCAUUCUAGUAUCUACGCGGAUCUAUAUGAGGCAUUAUAUGGGAGGAGAUGUCGCUCUCUGAUUGGUUAGUUCAAGUGUGGUAAGGCUAGGUUAUUUGGCUAAGAUUUGGUUCGUGUUGCUUUGGAGAAUGUGAAGUUGAUUCAGGAGAUGCUUCGCAUAGCUCAGUCUAAACAGAAGAGUUAUGUGGACCAGAAAGUUUACAAUGUGGUAUUUAUGGAGGGUGAGAAUGUUUUUCUAAGAGUUUAGCCUAUGAAGGGCAUGUUGAGAUUAUGGAAAAAGGGGAAUUGAGCCUUAUAUUGGUCCAUUUGAGAUGUUAGAAAGAGUUGAUGAGGUGGCCUAUAGAGAGAGCAUGAUAUGCGGAACAAUCAUCCUCAUCCUUUUGACAUUUCAUGUAUGAUUCUAAACUUGUUCGAGGAUGAAUGCUUGUUUAAGAGGUAGAGAAUGUAACGACCCAUCUAGUUGUUUUGUGUAUUUGAGCUUCAUUUCCCUAUUUGAUGCAUAUGCUUGUUUGUUGUUUUGUGACUUGAAGGGAUUGUUGGCUUAGUUUAGAAAUAUAACACUUAGUUCCACUGUUAGAAGCUUAAGUUAUGGGAGUUGACCAAGGUUUGAAUCUUGAAGAGAUGACCUCAGAUUGGUGAUUAGAGAAUACUAACGUACUUGGAAGUUCCUAGAAGUUUUUGGCACUAAUUAUAGAAAGUUAAAAAUUUGAAGGUUUAAAGAGUUCAUAUUUUUAACAAAUAGUUGACUUUGAUGAUAUUAGACUCGGAAUGUUGUUUUUGAACUUGGAAUAGAUACAAUUAAUGGAUUGGAACUUAUGCACGAAAUUUAGUUGGAAUCCGAACUAUUUAGGCAUGAUUCAUAUGUGAUUGAUGAAGUUGGAUGGUUUGAACGUCAAGAGAUGGAUUUUGGUCUUCGAUUUGUAGAUUUGAUGUUAUUCAUGAUGGUUUGGGUCUUUGGCUUAGGAUUAGGUAUUACAAAUUAUUUUUACGAUAGGACGAGGUCCGAGAAGACUUUGAGUGUGUUUCGGAUUGGUUUUGGACUAUUUGAGAAUAGUUUGGCAAUUCUGGUUGUAGUGCAUCGUACCUGUGGAAGUUUGGGUGCAAGUGCGACUACUCUGUUGCAUUUGUGGGAUUGAGGUGAUCUGGGGCUGUUUUCGUCAAUAGGGAAAGCGGGCCGUAGGUACAUAGGCACAUUUAUAGAUAUCCUAAGUGUGCCUAUGCAGAUUGACGGUCCUCGGUCAUAUGCACACAUGUGAAUAAAGUGGAAACAUUUGUGAGGUCACAUAUGGCCGGAGAUGUGAAAGGUUGGAAGCAUUAGUCAGGAUCAUAAUAUGAGCGUAUAAGUGGUGUCGUAGAUGCGACCCUUUUAUCCGUAGAUGCAUUAUCGCUGGCAGAUUUUGUUCCGCUUUAAGAUUCGUCAUGCGUUCCUAUUGUUGAUGGUUUGAGGAGAUUGAUACUUUAGGGGCCUCAAAGUUUUGCAUCAUUCUAUUUAUUAAAGUGUUAUGAAGAUGUAUCGUAAAUUGAAGCAACACUACUGGUGGUGGAGGAUUAAACAGGAAAUUAUUGUGCUUGCUUUAUCAUAUUUGAAUUACCAAUACGUAAAUUAUGAACAUUAAAAACCAGGUAUUUCAACUCAGAAAAUGGUUACUAGACUGGAAUUAGAAGCAUAUUGGAAUGGACUUCGUGGUAGGCUUACCACGUACUAUGAGAAAGUUUGAUGCCAUUUGGGUCAUUGUUGAUAGUUGACUAAGUUUGUGCACUUGAUACUAGUGUUGACAACUUAUAAUUCAAAGAGGUUGGCCCAAAUUUACAUUUGAGAGAUAGUCCGUUUGCGUGAUAUGCAUAUUUCUAUUGUUUCAGACCUGGAUACUCUGUUCAUAUAUCACUUUAGAGAGUUAUGCGGUGGGAUUUAGGUACAUAAGCUACGCUUAGCACUUCUUUUCACACGCAUAUCGAUGUAAGUUAAAGCAGACCAUUUAGAUUCUUAAGGAGCUUGUGUGAUGGAAUUUGGAGGUUACUGGGAGCAUUUCUUGCCCUUGGCAGAGCUUGCUUAACACUAUAGUCAUUAGUGUGAGUAAGUGAUUUUUGCCCUACGCAAAUUACUCCUAUAAAUUCAAACAAAAUAAUUUCUUUAAUUUUUCACUAAUUGUUUGCAUUUAUUUUGUCUGUGCAUUUUAAUUAGUGAAAAAUACAAAAUAUAUUGCAUGCACAUCUGGAAGUUGAUUUGAUCAUUUUCAAGAAUUAAAUAACAAUUAGUCGUUUUAUAAAAAAAACUCAACAACAGUUUAACUUGCUCUUUUAAUUUUAAUUUUUGAUUUUUAAGGGGUUUUCUUUUAAUUUUGUCUUAAUUUCUAAAAUAGUUAUGUAGAUUUGAUUAGUAUUCCAUCGGUAAAUUUGGGAUUUGUAAUAAAUUUAGGAUUUUUAAUAAUUAUUGAAAAUGAAAAUCAAAGAAAAAUGAAAAAAGAUAUGAAAAAGAAGUCUGGAAAAUUAAUUAAAAAAGAAGAAGAGAAAAGACUCAAUUUGGGCCAGUUUCAAUUGAAUUUCAGCCCAAAACUCCCCAUAAUCCGGUCCAGUCCACACCCUAUAUCCGGUUCAGUCCCCCCAACAAAAACAACGUCGUUUUGGGCAAAACGAUCAGACCCGUCUAUGUUUCAUAAUAUGAUGGUUGAGAAGCCGGGGUAUAAUGAUAUAAAUAUGUGCAAACGAUCCCCAUCACCCCCAAAACACCUCAUCUCCAACCUGUAUCACAGAAACCUUAACGCCACCUCCCUCCGCCAUGCGUCGCCAGCCGAAAAUCACUGCCGCCGCCAGAGGACCCCAAUCACCACCAAAUUAACACCCUGAUUUCCCUUAGCCUCCUCUAUCCAAAUCUGUAACCCGCUUCCCUCGAAUCCCACCCCAUCCUGUCAAAUAUUGGUUUCAAACAACGGCUCCUCUGCCGUGUACGGCGCCACUGCCUCUAUUCCGCCCCAAAACCACAUCAUACAGUCUCCACACCUCCUUCACUUCAGAACCAUAGCUUGUUGCCCUCGAAUGUCCCCGCAAUUCCUCAAAAUCCAGAUCUAAGGUUUCCGGAAUCCUCCAAAUGGUGCAUGUAGAUUUUCAGGGUUCGAUUUAAAAGAAUUAAGCUAAGUUUUCUAAAUUUCUUUUCUAAUUUCGUUUGGCCUCACCUCUUUCUGCUAAAUUGUUGUCAUUAGUCUGAACAUGUUUAAUUCGAAAUUGCGUCAGUCUUAUUUGCUUAAUAUCUGAGUUCAAAAUUAGAUUCAAAUUGUGUUAGUCGAGUUGGCUUUAAUCUGUUAGUUCAAGUUUUCAUAUUAAAUUGAUAAGUUUAAAUUGAUUUUGAUUCGAGUUGUGUUAGUCUCUACCAGUUGAAUUGAUGUCCAUGUUAAAAUCCAUGUGUUUAAUUAGUAUUGAUUCAAAUUAUUUUAAUCUUCUCAGUGGAUUCUUGAGCCUAAAUUAGAUUUGGUUGUAUGGUUUGCUCACAUACUCGACUAAUCAUGAUUUGCUAAUCCUAAUUUUAAGCUAAAAUUUUUGAGUGUGAUUGAAACUUAGUUUAAGUUCAAAGGUGAAAUGCAAUAACAUUUAACUAAAAGUCUUUAAAAUGGUUGUAAAUAAUUUAAAAUCAGGACAUAGGGAGAAAUUGAAAUACCCAGCGAUUGAAAGGGCAAAUGAGGGAAUAAAUCUUAGAGAAUCUUUGCAUAACAAUAAUAAAAGUUUCUAGUAGGGGGUCCCCUAUUAAUUGCAAUGCUUUAACUUGGUUAACAAGUUAAAAACUAAGGGAACUAAGUGAAAUAAAAUAUCUGAAGGUUGCCCUAAUCCUUGCCUAUAAAGGCAUUCCAACCUUGCCUUUCAAAGCAGGUUUUCAGGGCUAAAAAAAGGGAAAAUUCUGAAAAGAUUUGAAGGAUAAAAAUUCUAAAAAAACAAAGAGAUUUGAGAUCUAAAAAGUGAGAUAAUAGAAGAACAAUCAUAAAGGUCAAAUAUAAACAUUUUACUGUUCCAUUGAAACACCUGUUGAAUCCUUUUCGAAGCUUGAAUUUCUGAAAUAGUUCCUUGAUGUGUUAAAAUGAACUGGGGUAUUUGUUUAUUGAAUUCCGGCGUUGAGGUCAAUUAGGUCUGCAUUAGAUUAUUUGGUUUGAAAUUAUGUCAAAAAAAUACUCAUUUGGGUCCUGUUGGUGUUGCUACUACUAUUACUGAGAUUGCUGCCUAGCUGGCCUUCAAUCUUCCUAUUAUGUUAUGAUUUCCAGGUAUUUACUUGACCUCCAAGUCAUAUUUGAAGUUUGAAUAAGAUAAUAUUUGAUCAGGCUUGAAGAAAUGAUGAAAUUGUUACACAUUUCCCUUUUUAAUCUCGUUCAUAUCAUCUGAUACAUGUUAGAUUUGCUUAUUUUGAUUUGGUGUAUCCUCAAGUACUUGCGAACAUGUUUGUUUAAAUCUAGGCUCCAUGGAAAUUUGAAAGUGGUAUGGUCUAGAUGUAUUAUUAUUUGUAAUAAUUGGACUAUAUGGGCUCAUGAAUAUCCAUUUAGUAUUGUUAGUUUAAUUUUAAUGUUUUAAGGCAUGCUAUCAUGUUAGUUUGAACGAUAAAAAUUGAAAUGUAAUAUGGGCCUAAACCUGGUUUUAGGACCAAUGUUUGUAUUUAGUACUAAUGUUAAGUUUGAGUUUAAUAAAUGUUUGAAAUGGAUCUAUGCUUCGGUGUUUAACUUCAGUAGUUUGGCUCUAAAAUCAGAAAACUAACGAUUCUAAAUCUGUACCCAAUAAUUCAAGCAUCUCCUUUGGUUUGAAAAUAUUAAUCACUUUAGUUUGUUGUUGAAUUUCAGAAAUGAGAGUAGUAGCUCAUUAGCUUAAACAUGAUCUGAAUAAGAGUAUGAAAUUUGAUUUUUAAGCUGAGCAAGCAUCUGAUUUAAGCAAAUUUAAAUUGUUCAUUUGUUACAAAAUUGAUCAUUUGUGAGGUCCAAUUUAAAGUCAAUGUUGAUUUGGGCUCAUUUUGGGCUAAAACUAGUCAGAAUUGUUUGAAUGAAGUUCGGGGCCUCUUUUGGGCCAAUUACAAGCCCAAUAUUGAGUUCCGGCUUCAAGUAGUGGAUACGAAAUAAAAACACCAGCAAUGGCAAUUGUCUUUGUUCGAAAUUUGGGCCUAACUUGGUGGGCUCAAACUUGCUCUUCUUAUUAAAUACUAUUUGUUGGGUCAAGUCGUUCUUGUUAGGAAAAUUAGCAUCACUAUAAAUAAUUAAUUAGAAUUCAGCGAUAGUUUAAUGUUAAUUAUUUUAACCCUUUAAUUGGAAUAGGAGUUCAACUAUGCUAGAUAAAAAUAGUUCAUGGAUUUCAAGCCUUGGUCAAACGUCCUUUAAAAGAAAAAAACAAUAAAUAAGUUAAAUUGAGGUGCGCCGCGCCAAAUAAAAUCGUGAAUUGCAUGGACCUCAUGUAAUUAUGUCUUUAAACUACUUAGAAUUUUGGUGGGCCAUUUAGCAAACUUUCAUGGCCUCCCACAAAGAUAUCAACAUGCUAGUUUUUUUCGGCACAAAUUUAAUAAAGCUACUUUCUUAAACUCGGGUGGCAUCUCAUGUGAACGAAAUUCAAAUUCCAAAAUAUUGAAUAAAAUGUGUUUCGGAUCCGGGUGCAUUUCAUGUGACAUGAUCCAAAAACACGUCUUAAACUUAAAAAUUAAUUAAAAGUGAAAAAUAAUUUUAAAAUUGCACUAUUGAUUGAAACAUGUAUUAAAAUAAGAUAUUAUCGUGUAUCUUUUUCAUCUUUACCCUUUUUUCUUUUCAAUCUCGCAUCAUAUCUUUUAUUUCUUUCAUAACCUCCCUUCCACAUUAUGCCUUAAAGCUCUAGUGUAAUACAUGCACCUUUGAUGCAUACAAAAUCAUGUGAUAAUUUUAUAUUGACUUGUUACGACUCAGCUCUAUGGCAUGAUCUGGAAAUAAAAGAAGGGUAACAUUUCCUAAAUUCCUUAAAGCAUCUCAAUUAUAAAUAUGGUACGCAACUCAAUCAUAGGUUAGACUCUACAAAGCAUGGUGUAACGACCUGUUUGGUCAUUUUUUGAAUUAACUCCACGAUCCCCAACUAACUGCUUUUCUCGUGUUUGGUUCUACUAUUGUGAGUUUUUGGGAAGAUCUAUUUUAAGCUUCAGAGUGUUUUGGUAUACUUAGUCCCUAAAUGAGAGCUUAAACAUUAAAAUUUGAACCUUAGUCGCAACAAUGUGAAGACGGCCUCGGAAUGGGAUUCCGUAAUUUUUGUUAGCUUCGUUGCGUGAUUUCGGGCUUAGGGGCGUGUUCGGAUUGUGUUUUUGAGGUUCGUAGCUUAUUUAGGCUUGAAAUGCCGAAAGUUAAAUUUUUGAUGUUUCCAGAUCAAUAGUGAGAUUUUAAUAUCGGGGUCAAAAUUCGAUUUUGAAAGUUGGAAUAGCUCCUUAGUAUUGAAUGUGACUUGUGUGCAAAAUUUUGACUCAAUCAGACUUGGUUUAUUUGGUUUUGUCAUCGGGUGCAGAACUCUUAAGAUUUCAAGCUUAGUAGGCUUGGAUUGGAGGGUGAAUCAUGGUUUUAGCAUUGUUUUUUGUAAUUUGAGGAUUGUACUAAGUUCAUAUAAUAUUUUAGGAUUGGUUGGCAUGUUUGGUAGAGGUCUCGAGGGCCUUAGGUGAUUUUCGGAAGUUUAACGGAAGUUGAAUUUGGACUUAGGCUAUUCUGAAGUUUUCUACUUUUGGUAUUUUUGCACCUGCAGUGAGGAGCCCCCAUAUGCGAGUAAGUAGGUCAUAUGUUCGAUUUGAGCACUAAUGGCCAAUGAUAGCAGAUGUGGUUAUUGGAGCGAAGAAACGGAGCGCAUCUGCGAGGAAGGAGCGCAUGUGCGAUUUCUGCCCAAUUAAUGAAAUCUCACAGGUGUGAGUCCCCAACUGCAGAAGCAGAACCAAUGUUCGUCCUAUGAUUGUAGAAGUGGAAAUCAUUGGGCAGAAAUAUGAAAAUUUGAGGGUUUGAAGCUCAUAUCGCCAAAUUUGAUUUUUAGCUCGGGAGAAGACAAUUUUGUGAGAAUUUCCAAGAGGAAAUUAGUGGGUAAAGAUUCAUUAUCCCUUUAUUGUUGUAGUCCAUUAAUCUAAUCUUAGUUUUGUUAUUUAAUUUUGGAUUUGGGUGAAAAACUGAGAGAACUAAGUAAAAGUUCUCCAACUUAAAAUUAGAGUUUUGAGGGAGAUUUUGACGUCAGAUUUUGAUGAUAUUUGUUUGAGUGCACUCGUUAGUGAAUGGGUGCUCACAAUCCAUAAAUUUUAUUUGAUUCCGAGACGUAGGCCUUGUGUGUUUUUUGGGAGUUUUUCUAUUUUAUUACCUUAGCUUCGAUAACUUUAGCUAAUUAGGUAUUUAUUGUUGUAUUGAGAUUGUAAAAUUUAUUUGAUUAUAUUUGGGUCACUCAGGGUUAGAUAAUCGUGGCAAGAGUGUGACUUUGAUUAAUUUUGAGCCGGUUUAAGGUAAGUGGCUUGCCUAACCUUGUGCGGGGGAACUACCCUUAGUAUUUGGUGUUCUUAUUAUAUGAAUGUCGUGUACGUGAGGUGACGAGUGUGCAUACGUGCUAAUUGUUUGAAAACCUGAACACUACUUGCAAUUAAAAGUAUUCUGCUUAAUUUAGGAAAGCAUGCCUAAGUGCCUUAACUGUUCUACCUUCUUAAACUAUUACUUGAAUUCUGUGCACGUGAUUAGAAUAGAAAUAUCUGUUUUCUUGGUACAAACUAGGAUAGAACUUAUAUUCUUCUUGAGACUAUUGUCUGUAUACUUCGAGACUAUGGGACGAUGUCUCGGGAGAUCCCCUUGCAUGUUUACUAUUGGACUACGGAUUAGUAUUUCGGGAGAUGCCUCUGCACAUUUAUAUUUGGGACUACGAGACGACAUCUGGGGAGAUUCUUCUUGUAUUGGAUAUUGAAUUUGGGACUACGGGUUGGUAUUCUGGGAGAUCUUCUAGACAUUUACGUUUGGGACUAAUGGACGGUAUCCCAGGAGAUCCCCUAUUGCUAACUUUUUGUACUGAUUUAUAUUCCUUCCCUAAUUCUAUUCUUUAUUGACUGUUAGUAUUUUUCUUAUGUUGUCGCAUUUCAUAUUGUUUCUUUAUUUUUAUAUAUAUAACAAGUAUGGCCCUGACCUUCCUCAUCACUACUCGAUCGAGAUUAGGCUUGGCACUUACUGGAUAUUGCUGUGGUGGACUCAUGCCCUUUCCUGCACAUGUUUUUUGUGUGUAGAUCCAGGUUCUUCUUCUCAGCCUUUCUUUCAGUGAGGCGGUUGAUGUAAGAGACUUCGAUGUACAUCUACCGCGUCCGCAGAUCCAUAAUUCCCUCUCUGUUCUUCUCUUAGCUUUAGACUUCCUGUAUUUACUUUUGAUUAGACAUUCUAGAGUUAGAACACUGUGUAGUAUUUAUAGCUUGUGAUUUCAUGAGAUUCUGGGUUUUGGCAUCUUUAUUUUAGUAUCAAGAGAGUCUAUCGUAUUUUCCGAGCAGCAUUUAAAACUCUUCUAUUAUGCUUUUAACGGUAACUUGCCAGUUAUUGCAUUUUAUUUCCCUUUUCCACAAUUUGUUAGGCUUACCUAGUCAUAGAGACCGGGUUCCAUCACGGUAGUUCACGGAGGGAGAACUUGGAUCGUGACAAGUUGGUAUCAGAGCUCUAUUUUCAUAGGAUUCAUGAAUCACAAGCCGGUUUAUUAAAGUCUCGAAGAUCGGUACGGAGACGUCUGUACUUAUUUACUAGAUGCUAUAAAAUUAUUAGGAAAAUUUGACUUCAUUUGAUUUCCUUGUUGUGUGAGAUUUUGAUGUCAAAAUUUUAAACCUAUGUCUUCUAUUCUCUCACAGAUGGUGAGGACACGUGCUACUGGAGAUGACCAAGCACUCGUGCCCUCUAUUCGAGCCAUUAGAGGUCAGGGCUGGGGUAGAGGCCAAGAACGCAUAUAUGGUGCUACCAUAGCACCUACACGAGAUGCCACACAGGAGCCACCAGCCGCUCCACCUGGAGCCCAAGCACCUGAUACGCCUACUGCUACUACUACAGCACACCAAGAGACUCAUGCAUAGUUAAUGAGUAUGUACACCACUCUAGUUCAAGUAGGGUUGCUUCCCCUUACUACAACCACAUCUUAGGUAGGGGGAGGAGCACAGACUCCAGUCGCCCGCACUUCUAAGCAGCGAGUAAAGGUUAUGGAGGUCCAAAAGGUUAUACCGGUAUCGCCUACAACCCUAGUUCAUCCCAAGCAUAAGGAAGUAGCUUUAGAGGAGGAAUAGAGGAAGCUUGAGAGGUUCCAGUAGUACCAACCUCCUAUAUUCAGUGGUCUAGAAUCGGAGGAUGCCAAAGGAUUUCUAGAAGAGUGAUAUCGUAUCCUCAGCACUAUGGUUAUAUCAGGAUCGACUGAGGUUUCUUUCACUACCUUCCAGCUUCGAGGAGCAGCCUAUCAGUGCUGGCGUACUUAUAAGUUAGACACUCCAGCUGAGGCAGUUUCCCUAACAUGGACUCAGUUUUCAUAUAUGUUCCUGAGACAGUAUGUCCCUCAAAGCCUCAAGGACACCUGGCACGCAGAAUUUGAGCAUUUCUGUUAGGGUACUAUGACUAUUUCAAAAUAUGUUGUCUGUUUCACUAAAUUGACUAGGCAUGCAUACACCCACCUUUGUUCUAUGGUUUGCGAGAGAGUAAGCUAGGUUAUUGAGAGGCUUAUUCCCAUCAUAAGAUCUAGCAUGGACCUAGAGUUGGAGAUAGAUAUUUCGUAUCAGCAAGUGGUGAGCAUUGCUAGGAGAGUAGAGGGUAUGCAUGCUCGGGAUAGAGAGGAGAGGGAGGCCAAGAGGUCUCGAGAGUAGGGACAUUAUUUUGGUGCCUCUAGCUACAGUUCGUCAUGUUAAGGGUUAUAUGAGUCGGUUCAUCCAUCUCUUCUACCAGCCAGUAGUAUUCCAGCUCCUCCUAGACCUCAAGAUCCCUAUUGUACACCUCCAAUAUCUAGUGCGCCGCCUGCAUGGGGUGCUUUCAUUGGUCAGUCUAGCAGACAUGGCCCGAGCCAUUCACAGUCUCCAUGUUCUCCUAGAGAUUGUUUUGAGUAUUGCAACACAUGCCAUAUGGUGAGGGACUACUCCAGACUUACGAGAGGUGCACGUCCAACGACUUCUCAUCCACAGCCUGCCUCGUAGGACAUGUACAGCACCAGUUUCUACCCUAGCCACUCCACCAGCUAGAUAUGGAGGUCAGGGAGGUAGAGAUUGCCCUAGAAGGGGAGGCCAUGCUAGAUAUUAUGACUUUCCUGCUCGUACUGAGCCUAUCGCUUCUGAUUCUAUCAUCACGGGUAUUGUUCUAGUUUGUCAUAGAGAUGCAUUGGUUUCAUUCGAUCUGUUCUCCACUUAUUCUUAUGUGUCCUCUUAUUUUGCCCCGUAUUUGGGUGUAUCUCGGGAUUCUUUGAGUUCCCCUAUUUAUACUUCUACUAAUAUUUAAGAUUCUCUUGUUCUGGACCAUGUUUAUCGGUCGUGUUUGAUUUCUCUUAGUCGUUUCAAGACAAGAGCCGAUUUAUUAUUGCUCAGUAUGGUAGAUUUUGAUGUUAUCUUGGUCAUGGACUUGUUGUCACCCCAUUAUGCUAUUCUUGAUUGUCGCGCCAAAGACGUGACGAUGGUUGUGCUAGGUGUACCGCGAGUAGAGUGGAUGGGUACCUUAGAUCACACUUCCAUUAGAAUUAUUUCAUUCCCGAAGGCUCAUCGAAUAUUUGAGAAGGGGUCUGACGCGUAUCUAGCUUAUGAGAGAGAUUUCAGUAUUGAUACCCCUGCAGUUGACUCUGUCCUAGUAGUACGAGAUUUCCUUGAUGUAUUUCCAACUGAUCUUCUAGGUAUGCCACCCGAAUGAGAUAUUGGUUUUGUCAUCAAUUUGUUGUAGGACACUCAUCCCAUUUCUAUUCCUCCUUAUCGUAUGGCUCCUCCUAAGUUGAAGAAGUUAAAGAAACAUUUGCAGGAAUUGCUUGACAAGGGUUUAUUCAGCCCAAUGUAUCACCUUAGGGGUGCUCCUAUCUUGUUUGUGAAGAUAAAUUAUGGUUCUAUGCAUAUGUGCAUUAAUUAUCAGUUUAACAAAGUUACAGUGAAGAACUGAUGUCCUUUACCUCGUAUAGAUGAUCUGUUCGACUAGUUGCAGGGUACACAAAGGUUUUUGAAGAUUGACUUGAACUUAGGUUAUCAUCAGUUGAAGAUUCAGGAUAUAGAUAUCUCGAAGAUGACCUUCAAGAUUGAGUAUGGUCAUUUCGAAUUCCUUAUUAUGUCAUUGGGUUGACCAAUGCCCCAGCAACCUUUAUACAUUUGAUGCAUAGUAUAUUCUGGCCAUAUCUUGAAUCGUUCGUCAUGGUCUUUAUCGAUGACAUUUUCGUAUUCUCUCGUAGUUCAAAAGAUCAUGAGCAGCACCUGAGGACAGUGCUUCAAACUUUGGGGGAAAAAAAGUUAUAUGCGAAGUUCUUGAAAUGUGAGUUCUGGUUGGAUUCUGUGGCGUUCUUGGGUCGCGUAGUAUCAAGUGAAGGGAUCAAGGUGGAUGCAAGAAAGUGGAAGAAGUGCAGAGUUGUCCUCGACCGUCCUCAGCUAUAGAGAUCUGUAAUUUUCUUGGCAUGGUGGGUUAUUACCAUUGUUUUGUUGAGGGAUUUUCAUCUAUUGCAACACAUAUGACCAAGCUGACCCAGAAGGUUGCUUCGUUCUAGUGGAUGGAAGAGUGUGAGAAGAGCUUGUGGACGCUCAAGAAUGCUUUGACUACAGCCCAGUUCUGAUAUUGCCUAUAGGUUUGGGGUCUUAUACUGUCUAUUGUGAUGCCUCAAGGAUUGGCCUUGGAGCGAUAUUGACGCAGGAUGGUAGGGCGAUUUCCUACGCGUCUAGAUAGCUGAAAGUGCAUAAGAAGAAUUAUUAUGUCAAUGAUCUCAAGUUAGUUGCAAUUGUUCACGCCUUGAAGGUUCGGCGCCAUUAUUUGUACGAAGUGCCUUGUGAGAUUUAUACUAAUCAUCGGAGUUUGCAACAUCUCUUUAAGCAUAAGGACCUUAAUUUGCGCCAAGAGAGGUGGUUAAAGAUGCUGAAGGACUAUGAUAUCACUAUCUUGUAUCACCCGGGCAAGGCCAAUGUAGUGGCCGAUGCCUUAGUGACAUUGUAUCACCCGGGCAAGGCCAAUAUAGUGGCCAAUGCCUUGAGUCACCAAGCGGAGUGUAUCGUGCUUCAUAAGGUGUGAAUUUCUUAAUUAGUUAGUAUAUGGCUUGCUUUUUUCUCCUUAUCUCGUAUUAUCCCAGAACAUAUCUGAAGGCUCCAUAUAAUAUAGGUAGAUAGAGUACCUAAGGUUUACCUGGCUCUGGCCGGAUCAAAAGCGGUGGUGUGGACAGGUAUUUCUCGAUUUUGUUGAAAGCUUUAGACAAUCCCCGGUCCAUCUUGUUUCCGAAUCUUUCCUCAACAUUUUGAAGAUAAGCACAUAUAAAUGUGGACUGUUCUAUGAAGCGAUUGAUAUAAUUGAGAUGUCUUAGGAAGCUCAUUACAUCCUUUUUUCUCCUAAGCGGCAGUAACUCUUUAAUAGACUUAACUUUAGACGGACCCAAAUUGAUUAUUCGACGAUUGAUACUGAAUCCUAGUAGCUUUCCUGCAAGAACCCCAAAUGCACACUUUGUGUUUUUUCAAUUUUAAGUUGUACCUCCUUAACCUAUCAAAGAACUUUCUCAUGUUCGCUAUCUUAUCUGCGUCCCUCUUGGAUUUGAUAAUGGCGUCGUCCACAUAUGCCUCUAUUUCUUUGUGUAUCAUAUCAUUGAAGAUGGUUGUAAUGGCUCUAAUGUAUGUAGCCCCAGUAUUCUUUAGACCGAAUAGGAUCAUCUUGUAGCAUUAUACCCACUAUGGUGUAAUAAAAGUUGUUUUCUUGGCAUCUUCUUCGUCCAUCCAGAUUUGGUGAUAACCAACAAAGAAAUCUACAAUGGAUUGAAGUUCAUGCUUGGAACAAUUGUCGAUCCGGAUGUGUAUAUUUGGCAGUGGAAAGUCAUCCUUGGGACUUGCUCAGUUUAAGUCUCGGUAGUCAACACAUUCUGACUUUCCCAUCUUUCUUGGGAGCUAGUAAAAUGUUUGCUAACCACGUUGGGUAUUCAAUCACCCUAAGGAAUUUGGCUUAGAUCUGCUAUGUAACUUCCUCCUUGAUUUUCAAACUCAUAUCUUGUUUGAAUUUUUUGAGUUUCUGCUUCACUAGCUAACACAUGGGAUUGGUAGCAACUUGUGAGCUCCUAUGGAUGUGCUCAAACCGCUCAUGUCAUCAUAUAACCAUGCAAAUAUAUCUUCAUACUCCUUCAGGAAAUGAAUGUAUUCUUCUUUCUCUGUCAGUGGUAAGUGAAUGCUAAUAAAAGUCUAUUUGAUAGUUUCGGUAUCUCCCAAACUUACUUCUUUGGUUUCGUCCAGAUGGUACUUAGGCUUAUUUUAAAAGUUCUCAACCUCUCAGACAAUCUCCUCAGGUAUUUCAUCUUCUUCAUCUAAGUCACUAUCCUUAUAUUGUGUUGCCUCAUUAUAUGUCACAGUCACCGAUUCAUCAGCAAAAAUAAUAAUAACACUGGAGAAAGAAAAUGUGUGGAAGAUAAUAAUGAAUAAUAAAGAGCAAUGCAUUGAUUAAAACUAAAAAUGUCCAAAUAACUGCUCGAUGAAUCGAGCAUUUAUUUUGCAGUAUUUAAACACAUACUGCAAAAUAUAAAUUCGUGUCCUAAUUUAGGAGCCUCGUUGUGCCCGAGGUAGGCCUAGCGACAAAUAGAUGGAGAAAUACAGUGCCCAUAAUAGCCUUAUUUAAUUAAUAUAAAAAUAAACGACACUAAAUAAUGUUACUAAUCGAACUUGGCUUUAUUACAUUUAAAUGAAAAGCGAGUAAAUUUAAUCUACCUGGUCCGAGAAGGACCCUCCCCAUACCGAAGGCUAUUGUAGAUUAAUCUCCCACGUCAAGCAGGUUCGGCAGUAAGAAACUUUGUGCCUCAUUUUUCUGCAAAACAAAAGGUGGUUAGGCCUUUUCCCCCCAUCAAGAUUCGUCUAUUUAUACAAUAAUGAUUAGCAUAUUGGCACUUAUUUCUCUAAAUUAAUGCACACAGUCGUGAUUGCAUCCAUUGGGAUUAUGGAAAACCGGGCAGACUUUUGGACGAGGCUUUAUUUUCAAAGGGUUAUUAUAGGGACAUCAUAUUAACCUAGCUAGGCUUGACCAAGAUGCAUGCACAAGUAAUCAGAGUAAGGUUGCUAUAGAAGUCUAGAUUGGGACCCUCAAGCGGACAACUUAAGGGAGAAAGGCACGAAACCAUUGACUACACCGCUGAUCGACUAGUUUUACCGCAAAUAUGCCUUUCUUAAUUUAAGGGAAUUAAUUGGAAGAGCGCAACCAUUCAUCAAGUGUUGCUAUAGGAUUUGUUAGGCACAAAUGGAAUAUGAUGUGGAGCAUAAGUUAUGCAACAACAAAUAUCAUGUUGUCAAAUAUUUGCACAUUAAAAAACGGUAAGUGUAGUAUCAAAAUAAUUGAAAGACAGUUACGGAGAAAGAAAACAAAGAGAUAAAUCAAUUUCAGGAGAUGGAGAAAAUCAUAAAUAAGUUGUUAAAUCGAAGUAAAGGGGAGGAUGCACGGGAUAAAGCAUGUUUAAGACUAAAUCAAAAAUAAGUUUGUUAUGGUAAGAGACUAAAAUAUCACCAGUAGAGCCGCCAUGUUGUCGGGCCCUAUUUUUUCUUCGCAGGGAAGUCUGGGUUUCGACAUUCAUGGGGCAACAACUCGCUUCCUUUUGGGAAUUGAGUGUUUGAAGAGUCGCCAUCUAAUGGAUUAAGGUGCAUUAGGGAACUUAGAGAAAUUAACUCAUGUAACCAGUUUGCACUGCCAGAGAUUAGGGUAAGGGCAUGAAAUAACCUUGAGUGAAAGAUGUUAAGCACUCCUUGCGGCUCACAAUGAUGGGUCCCAAUCGAACUUAACUAUGUGAAUUAGUCAAUUAACAAGUAAGCAGUCCCAAUACAUAUUUGCAAAUAAAGGUAGUGUACAUAGUCUAAAUAUUAUGAUCAAGGAGGUUUAGAUAGUUUAAACACAUAUAUGUAAAGAAAAAUAAGUUUAGAUAGAUUAAACAAAUAUGAAUUGGGAAACAGAAGUCCUAAGUUGAUUAGCGUAUAGGAUCAAUCUCUGCAAUGCCCGGUAAUCCUCCUCAACUAGAUGGGCUACAUGUGAUAUUAGCGUAGGUCAUCAUAUCCUUUUACUAACCAUUACCCCUCCCCCCUUAGCGGUUAUGAACGAUUUUAAUAAACGAACUCUAAGCGUGCUUUACCUAUCCCUUCCUUGUGGUCCCCAAGGAGUUUAGGACCUCUAGACUUGGGCAAUUCUAGACAAUCCUAAGGUGUUUAAAAGGCAAAAGUCUAGGCGACAACAAAUAACAUACAGGACUGUCAAUGAAGGAAUCAGAUAAAAGGCUCAUGUUUACCUCAACAUAUACAUAAGGCAAAUAAGCAGCACGUCUCAAACAACUUAUUGAAAAUAAAUUUAGAAAGAAUAGGAACAUGAUAUCUAAAUGAACAUUACAUAACAGAACAUGUAGUGUCUGUUUCAAGGGAAGUGGCUUAAUCCUAACCAGUUUGCCUACUGGUUUUAUGGCAUGUUAUGCCUGGACAAUUUCACACAUAAACAGAAUCUAAUUUCACAGUUCUCUAAUGGUUAAGGCUUGCCUAGGGAUAUAUAUGCAGUCAUAAUCUGGGAACCACUUAAAUUAUUUAAAGUUCUUUAAUCCUAUUGGCAUGCUGAUCUAAGUGAUGAAUAUUAUAGCAGGUAAUUUUAUAUUGAUUCAUGCCAGAACAUGGUACUAUGUGUGGGGUUGUUUUAACCUACUUAUUUUAACGACAUGUUUCAAAGUAUAUGUACAUGCAGUCACAAGAUAUGAUCUCUAAUGCACAUGGAGAAGGUUAUUAUAUUUUAAACAAUAUUAGUAACUUAAUGGUAGUAUUUCUAAGUGAUACCGACCUAUGCAGAGUUAGAAGUAAAAUGAUGAACUAUAACAUAUGAUAUGCAUAAGAAAUAAAUAUGAUUGUCCUAAGUCAAGGUAUCUAAUGCACAAAUUUUGUAUGAUUUAAUGCGAGUAAGCAUAGAAAUCCUAAAUCAUGAUAUCUAAUGCGUCAUACAAACCUAAAACAUGAUAUCUACAUCAACUCAUCAUAAUGUAAAACCUGAAACAUGGUUUCUAACCAAUUUAUCCCAUAGAAUCAUAUAAAUGCCCUCCCUAUUCUACUAUUUACCCCAAUAUUGAUUUAUAAAGGAUUAUUACAAACCGGGAUUUAGUAAAUUACUUCAAUGAGAAGUAAACUUCUAUAAUAGAGAGCUUGAAGAAGGCCCUAAACAAAUCUAGGAGUACAAGGCCUUUAGAGUAGUCGCAAAUUCCCGGAAUUCUUACAGCCAACAAGUGUCCAGGUGUAUCAGAGUUUCCUAUGGACCUCAAGGAUAUCGGGAAGUGCUCACACCAAGACCUUUCUCAAAAUAAGGACAGGUUAUGUGCAGUGUGGAAGGGUCACUUCUAGCAUGCCAGAGUUCAGAGAGAUCUCAAGGAUACCUAAGCAGUACACAUACCAGAGGGGCAGAACUUAAUAAUAUAAAAGUAAAGUGCGAGUUAUUGACACAGUUUGAAAGGUUUGGUGAAAACAGUAUAGGGAUGACUCUAAGAAUUAAAAUAUUUUCUAAAAUAGAACUAGUUUUGUCACAACCCCGAUUCGCCCUCCAUGAACAAUCGUGAGACUCUAAUAAACCGAUCAGUUACACAGCCUUUUGUAGAUAAGUAUAGACAUCUCCGUACCAAUCAAUAAGUCUCUUAUAAACCCGCUUAUGAUUCAUUACUCUUAUGAACUUAGAGCUAUGAUAUCCACUUAUCACACCCCGUAUCGCCCUCCAUGAACCAUCAUGACGGCACCUAUUCUAUACGACUAAGUAAGCCUAACAAUGUGCAAAAUAAACAAAUUUGCAAAAGAAAUAAUUAAAACCAAAAUAAUAAGAUAAUACAAUGUUUAAAAGUGCCGCUCGGUACACAAUAACAACUCUCGAAACUAAUACAUUUCCAAAAAUCCGGAAGUUUAUGAAACCACAAGCUUUUGGAUGUCUUCAAGUAUCCAACUCCAGAAUGUCUAACAUCACAGAAGGGAAAAUGUUUAAAUAAAGAAUAAAGAGGGUCUAUUUGAUCUAUGGACGCGGAAGAUAUACCUCGAAGUCUCUAGAACAGUCGCCUAGACUUAAGGGUGAUAGGACUGAGUCAAAGUACCUGGAUGUGCAUAUGAAAAAGAUACACAGAAAGGGAAUGAGUACACCAUAACGGUACUCAAUAAGUGCCAAGCCUAACCUUUGUCGGGUAGUGACGAGGGAGGUUAGAUCCUUACUGAGGUUAAAUAAAAUAUAAUGUAUGAUAGUGUAGAAAAAGAAUAUAAUUGAGUGCAACAGUAAGAAAUAACCCAAUAGAAUAACAACAACAACUAGAGCAGAGACAAGAAAUCAUGGAAAGAAAAUACAGCCCAACACAGAGAUAACUACCGGGGAUCUCUCAAGAUACCGUCCUGUAGUCCCAAUCACAACUAUUCCGUGGAUCUCCUGGGAUACCAUCCUUUAGUCCAUCAUAUAUAUCCGGAGGAUCUCCCUAGACCUCGUCCCAUAGUCCAAUUGUCAAUGUGCGGGGAUCUACCGUAAUCCCGAUCCAUAGUCACCAAUGUAAAUACUAGGGGAACCUACCGGGUGUAGUCCCAUCAUUCCAUAUAAGUGUGCAGGGGGAUCUACCGGAAUCCUACAUUUGUAGUCUCAUAUAAACAAACAAGGGGGAUCUACCGGAAUCCUACAUCCUUAGUCCCAAACAAACAUACAAGGGGGAUCUACCAAAAUCCCACGUCCGUAGUCCCAAUAUAAAUACACAAUAGCAACAUGAAGAGUAUUCAUAAAUUGUCCACUUCAUACCAAGGCAAACAACUAUUACCAGACUAGCAUGCUGCAUAGAUUUCUGGUAAAUAUUUUGAGCAAGUGAAGCAAUUAAAUCACUUAGACAUGCUUCCCUAAGCUAAUAACAUGCUUAAAUUUCAAGUAGCAAUAACAGGAGAAGAAAACACAAUUUUAAUUACUUAGGAAAAUCGAAUUUUCAACAAUUGGCACAAGUAUGCACUUGUCACCUCACGUACAAGUCAUUUCAAAUAUCAACAAUACCAUAUCCUAAAGGGAAUUCCCAUGCACAAGGUUAGGCAAGCCAUUUACCUCGAACCGGCUGAAAGUCAACCCAAAACUACGUCUUUGCCAUGAGUAAUUAACCCCAAAUGGCCCAAAUCUAUUCAAUUCAAUUGCACAAUGUAAACUAUACUUCGAGUGACUAAUUCUACAAAUAAAUUCUAAGCUAAUACGUGAAAUAAGAUAAAAUGACCAAAAUGCCCCUCGGGCUCACGUCUUGAAAUCAGGCACAACUUAAGCUUUCAGAAUCAUCAUACGCUCACGUGUAUAUACAUAUCAACAAUACCAAAAUCGGAGUUUAAUUGACCCCUCAAAUACCCACAUUAAGGUCUCUUAAUCUCAAGCCCUUGUUACCCAUUUUGCAUUGAUUUUCCCUAAUUUUUCACCUUUAAUCACAUAUAACAAGUUAUGAAGUCAAGAAUUACCUCCAAGUGAUUCCCCCUUUGGUUUCCUUAAAAAUAUCCAUCAGAAGCUUCAAUCCUGUUAAAAAUUGUGAAAGAAUAACUCAAUUUACGAAGGCAAUUAUUUAUAUGAUCUGCCCAGCUAAUCCACUUCUGUGCUCCUGCUUUUGCAGAAUUAAAGUCGUUUCUGAGACAAAUUACUAGAUACUGGCUUUUCUCACCUGUGAAUCCCUAUGCGCAGAUGCAGUACCGCUUCUGCGGCUCCUGCUGCUUCUCACCCUUUCCGCUUCUACGGUGAUAUGUCCCUUCUAUGGACUCGCACAUGCGCUCCCCAAGUCUUAGGUGCGGUUUAUGACAGCUGCCUUGAGACUUUAGCUGCAACUCACAACUCCAAAUAUUUUUAUCAAACAUCCAAAAUCAUCCCGAGGUCCCCAAGACUCAACCAAAACCACGAACAAGUCAUAUGCCCCUAUCCCAACUUACCAAAUCUCCACAACACCUCAAACAACCAAUUAGCAUCGGAUUCAAGCCUAAGAACUUCAAAACUCUCAAAGUACGCUUUCUAUGAAAAAUCCUAUCAAACCUUGUCUGAAUGACUUGAGACUUUGCACACAUGUCACAUUCAACACUAUGAAACUACUCCAAAUUCCGGAAUUCCAUUCCAACCCUCGGAUAAAAAUCUUACUAUCGAACCACAAACUUCAAAAAUUCAACCUUCGAUAUUUCAAGCCUAAAUUAGUUAUGGAUUAAUAAACAUAUCUCACACCACGGUAAAGUGAUUAUGGACACAUAAAAUUUACAUAUUUAAAGAGAACACAUGAUAGGGCUCAAGGAGGCAUAUAGUCAACAAAAUGCAUAGGACACUUAGAAGCUUAUAAAAUUAACAUGUUAGUUAUGAUGGUAGGCAAUAGAGUCAUGUUGAAAGCAAAGAUACACUGGACAGAAUCAAACACAUAACUAGAGUCAAUCGAAUGCCUUAAAGAUUAGGUAACUACCAUGAUAUCCUCACACAAGGAGACUAGACAAGGGUGAAUAGAUAUGGUGGACAAACAUAAAAAUGGAUAACUAUAGUUUGUGCAUGCUAAUUACAUAUUGAAAGGAGGAGACAUAGCUAAGUAAGGCAGUAAACAAGAACAUGAAUUGAAUCUAUAACUAAUGAGCUAGCACUAAAUUGAACACAUAGAGUUUAGGUUUCAAAAUUUAACUAAGACAUACCAGCCAGGUAAGAGUAAUGCAAAAUUUUAAAGAAACAGGUGCAAUUCCACUAUCUAGCCUUGGCUUUCAGCCGGCUAGACCCACAAAGCACAAGUAGCAAAGAAGGAGAAGAGUUCGAAUGUAUAUGUGUGUUAUGAACCGAUGUUCGUGUGUAAUGAAAUUAAAUAAGAGAGUUUAUAUGGUACUUCAAGAGUAGAGCAAAUAAGGUAAAAGAAUCAACUUCAGUUUCAAGGGAAGAUCUUAGAAUCAAUUACACAAAAAAUCAACAUAGUCUUUCCUUAACUAAGGGUAAUUAACCAACGAUUAUGGCAGGAAAUAUUUAAGGCAAGAAAUUCAAAUCAGAAUUAGGGAAAGAGUGAAUAACUAGGAAUCUAUAUAAGGAAAUAAAUGUCCAACGAAUCAGUAGAAAUUACAGGCAAUUUGAAUAAGACAAGAAGACUAAUAAAGUCAUAAACAAGAAUAAUCAAGAAUCAUGCACAUGAAAUUUUAAACAAAGCGAAUCACUCAACAAUUCUGCAAAGAAUAUAUCAAUUUCCAUGAACAAAAUAGGUUGAGCAAAACAUUAGGAACAUAGAGAAAUUCGACAAAAAAUAAGUUAAAAAAAAUCUAAUAUAGAUUAAUUGGGAUAAAAAUCUCAAAACAAGGAAUUCGACUAAGGAAAAGCAUGUAAAUCAAAAUAGAGAAUGAACCAAUGUGACUAGUAACUUUGCAAGGCUCAGAAUCAAAGCAAAGCAUCAAACAGUUAGUCUUAACAUAAACCAACAAGGGCUUAUGCAAUUUUAGCAUAAAUCAGUCAUGUAAGAACAAAUGAUUAAGCAUUCAAAAAAUUAGAAAACCUUUUGAAAAGGUGACAUAGGGUAAAUCAUAGUUUAGGGAAAACGUGAAAUCAAUUGAAAACCAGAAAACUUUCAAGGAAAACAUGUAAGAUAUGUUCGAUUCAUCUGGGAUCUAUACAUAUCUGAGAAGAUCGGAGAUAAAAAUUAGGGGUUUUUAGAAUUCAUGAUAGAGACGAGAACAUAGGCCUAGAAAAUCAUGAAUCCAUAGCAAAAUAAGAGGGUUUUGUUAGUCAUGCUUGAGAAAACAACCUGAAACAAAUAAAGAAAUUGAAUGUGCAAAAGCAAACCGCCUAGGUCCCUUGAGAUCUUCUCAAGGAUCUAAGAAAUUGAUGAACCGUAGCAAGUAGGAGGCUAGCAUAUGCCUGAGACGUCAAAGAAAUAUUGUAAAAUGGAGGGCUAAGCCGGUAACGACAUCUAGAUUAGGGUUCAGAUAGAGAGCAUGUGAGAGAGAGUGGAAAGGGUGACAACGAGGUAUGGUGGAAAUGAAUUAGGUUUGUUACAUCUUGCAUUUUAGUACGUUAAAAGUUUUUUCUUCGAUUAAGCAACGUGAACUUGAGGAUGAUAUCAUCUUGACAAAUUCAUAUUUAUGUUAUUUUUAACAAUCAAUAAAUAAGUGUUAUAAAGGAUAAAGGGUUACACUGAUUAAAGAAAAUGAGUUUCGUUGAAAAUGGCAAAUUGAAAAAAAAUACGGGUCAAGCGAUAAUACCCGAUAAUUAUGAACUAGUACCAUUCAAGGUGCCAUAAGUAUAAUGUGUAAAGUAUAUACAUGAAGUAUUUAAAAAAUAAAUACAAUAUUAAAUAAUUUGUGCUAAUAUUUAAUUUAUGUGGGUAAUUAAUUAAUUACCGAGUAACAUGACAUUACCCAGUUAAUUAAUAAGUGGAUAAAAUUAUAAAUUAUACCACCCUCCCAUGUAGCACAAGGCCACUAAUUAGGAAGCAUGAUUCAUUAAUACAUGUAUAGAUGUCUUGAAAAUAUGUCUUAAAUAAGACUUGUAAAGUCUUAACCAGAAAGACAAGAACAUGUAAAGUUAAAAGUAAGUCUUAAGUAAGAAAUGAUAGGAAGUUAAGUCCAGAAUAUUCUCUCCAAUUUCUCUAAUGCCUCCAACACCCAACUCUUCAGCUACCCCACCCCCCAAACCACUGGAUAACAACCCUUCACUAAUCCCAUGGAGACCAAUUCCAUGGCAAAAGAACCUAUCCUCUUUAAGGAUAAGCUUCUCAACAAAGAUAUGAGCUUUAAUAUUGAUAUAACCUCUGAUCCACCACCUCCACAACAAGCCCAUAUGAACUUCCACUACGAAACAGACACCACAAGCGAACCACUAAACCCUUACCGGGAGUAUAACAUAUCAGUUCCUAUUAUAUUUAAAGACAAACAAAGAAUCUACCAUCCCUAGAGGUACUCUUUAAUCAUUAAGUUACAAAUUAAUGGGAAAAGAAACACACAUGAUUUGUUGAAAAAGAAACUUAUAGACCUUUGAAAACCGUUAGAAAAUUUCCCAUUAAUUGAUCUAGGAGAAGAAUACUAUAUUGUUCGAUUCAGCAAAGAAGAGAACAUGGCUAAUUAUUUCAAAAAGGUCCAUGGUUUAUCUAUGGUCACUUCUUCUCAAUCCAAUGAUGGAUUCUAAACUUUGUAGCAUCUAAAGCAAUAUUGUCCUUUACUGCAAUCUGGAUUAGACUUCCCCAACUUCCAACUGAAUUUUAUGAUAAGGAAAUACUACAAAAAGUGGGAAGCUCAAUAGGAAGACUCUUGAAAGUUGAUAUUUGUAUGUCGGCAGCCCUCUGAGGGAGAUAUGCUCGUCUAUGUGUGGAACUCCCUCUAAACAAACCUGUCACUCAUUUCAUCUUUGUAAGUUCUCACAAACAACAUAUACACUACGAAGAUGGUAAACUCCUAUGUACAACAUGUGGUCACUUAGUCCAUGUAACAUCUCAAUGUAACCAACCCAAGACCAUCCGAAGGCAGGAACCACACUAUAAGGAACUGGAAACACCCCAACCUGGGCAAACCAAGCUUGUAGGAUUAUGGCAAACAAUCCCUUUUCACAGAGGUAAACGAAGGGAUCCCUCAAAAAGUGCCUUAAAAUUGCAAGAGAAUAAAUAAGAACCAGGUAUUAGCAUUAAUAUUUUUGAAGCCAAGUCUGGUAAAUUUCUCUCUUUUUGAAGCCAAGUCUGGUAAAUUUCUCUCCUCCCAAAAAUUUUGCUACAAAACUAGAACUCACCAGUUGCAAUCUUCCAAAAACUGCAAAACAAUCUCUCGCACAAACCCUAGCAAAAACUCAAGUAAUUUCCAUCUAUUGGAAAAAGCUAACUUAGAUGAUAAUUACUCUCAUAACAUUACUAACAAUCUUAGUAAAAGCAUUACCAAUAUUAAUUAUGAUAGUCUUUCCCCAAACCACACGAAAAAGUCCAUUGAUAAUAUCGAACAUUCUGAUAUCUCUAAUAAGGAUAUUACUAAUGAAAUAUUAGAUAUUGUUAUGGGCCAACCUAAUACCCCACACACUCAUCCACCCACCCUACCAGUUACAUACACCUUCCCUCUCACCCAAUCAAGCCCUAUUAACUCCCAUAAUACUACACUACCAAGCAGCACAACCACCACUAAUGAAGACCCUACUAAUCCACCCAUUAAAACCCAUCUAAUGUGUAACACUACCCUAACCAAUUCCAUUCCCUUGCAUGCAGCAUCUGACAGGAAACAUCUGUCAUGCAAGAACCAAGCCAAUGAACAAAUGGCUAUUGACAUCUCCCACAUAAAGACACCCCAUCCCAAUCCACUCCUGAACCAAAAAAUCUCUAUUAAAUACACGCAAAACCAGUCAGUUUGCAUGUAAGGAAAUAAUUCAAUCAUUGAGAUCCUAGGAAACAUUAGUUCUACUAGUGCUUCAGUACCAUCAUCCCCAUUAAAUUGUCCAAAUCCUCAAAAAUUCCCAGAAUCCCAAUCUCAGCAAGAAAACGCCACCGUCUCUUUCAACUCCAAAGAAUAACUCUCAACUAAAUAUUGAACAGAAUCUCCCUUAAAAUCAUCAGAAUCAAAAUCAAAACAAUCAACUAAGAAGGAUUCUAAUUUAACCUCCCAUUCCUCAUAACCACCAACCAUUAUCUUGGAAGGAGAUGGGGCUUCUAGUCCAUGCACUCUCUUUCUAUAUCACAUCGGAGGGGAGGAAAACAGUGAUAGUGAUCCAGAAUUCUCACUAGAUUGCCCAACUAAUCUCUGAAGGAGUUCGCAUGGCAAUGAACAACUACAUCAACCAAGUAUGAUUGAAAAACAUCCUGAACCCCAUAACCCCAACUCUCACCACCAACAAACUUCAAUCCAUGAGGGGUGACUAAAACAUGCCUCUCAAUUUCUUCCCAAUCCAGAACCCAACUCCGACGGUAGAUCUCCCUUUCUUCACCCCGGAAUGCCUAUCCACCAUGAAUCCAGUUUUCACCCUUUGGAAUGCCCAUGCAACUCAUCCCCUACCUCCAGUUGUAUAAGAUAUCCCAUCCAUGCAAACCCCUCAUUCCCAUGCUCAAAACCAAAUGGAGCAGGCAAUGGAAGAAUAAAUCUAUCUUAUAAAAUUGAUCCCCCAAAACGUGGUCGUGGAUUCAAACCUAGACGAGGUAAAAAUAUUUCUAUUUAUGGAGAGGAAAUAGCAAAAGAAAAUUCUUUACUGUCCAAUGGCACUAUACAAUUUUAUAAUGAACAUAAGAUCUCCAAUAGACCCUACCGUAGGAAAACACGCAAUGCUCCUCGUUCUUUUCAAAGGAGGAAACCCAUCUUUCCAAGGAGGAUAAGGUAGAAUGGAGAUCUGAACAACCCAUUAUUUAAUAUGAAUAGAUCGACCACUUUGAUCAUUUGGAACAUAAGAUAGGGUAACAACGACAAGUUUAAGCCAAGCUUCAAGAAUCUAAUAGAUACUCAUCACCCUAGUAUGGUAACUCUUCUGGAAACCAAGAUGGACAUCUAUCUUCCUCACCUCAGUCCCUUGGAUUCUCAAAUAUGAUUGAGAUUCCAACAGAGAGGCAGUUAGGUGGUAUGGUUAUAUUAUGGGAUCACACUAAGGUCAUGGUUCAUAGCUUUAUUCGUUGAAUCCAAGAAAUUAGUGCCAUUAUUGAGGUAUUUUCCCUUAACAAAACAUGGUAUUUCACUUCGAUUUAUGCUAGUACUGAUAGUAAAUUUAGAAAUAUUAUGUGGAACAAUCUACUAGACAUGCAUAGUGAAAUUAGAGAUCCUUGGGUGGUAGGGGUGAUUUUAAUGAUGUCUUAAACUCCGAUGAGAAAUUAGGUGGUAGAAAAAUUAGUCAAAAUAGAUCUAAGGUCCUAUGGGAUUUUAUCAACUAUUAUAACCUAAUUGAUCUAGGUUUUAAAGGUCCUAAUUUUACUUUGUCUAAUAAAAGAAAAAAAAAACAAAAGCCCCAUACUGGAAAGAUUAGAUACGGUGUUUGCGAAUAAGGAAUAGAUCAAUCUAUUUCCGGAAGCUUAUAUUACCCAUCUUCCUAGGAUUCACUCGGACCAUAAUCCCCUAUUGAUUACUUGUAACCCAAAAAAAUGUACCUCCUUAAAACAAUCUUUUUGACUAGAAACCUUUUGGUGGCAUCACCCGGACAUUAUAAAUCUAGUUAGAAAUAGUUAGAGCAACCCCAGCUAUAUCCAUAGCUCCCAAAACUUUACAGGAAAUAUUACCCAGUUGAGUAGGAAGCAUUUUGGAGAUAUUCACCUUAAGAAAUCUGGGAUUAUUGCUAGACUAAAUGGCAUUCAACACUAUAAUAACCAUCAAUCUAAUUUUAUUUACAGAAUUUAGAGUCUAAACUUCAACAAGAAUAUAGAGAUAUUUAUAAAUUAGAAGAUGAGUACUGGAAAAUUAGAGCCAGAAUAUCAUGGGUUCAAGAAGGUGACACGAGCACACAAUUCUUCCAUAUUAAUGCAACAAAUAGAGCUAGGAAAAAAAUCAUAUAUUUCAAAGACAAAUUUGGUAAAUGGAUCAACGAACCUAGAAAAAUUUUAGAUCACACUCUCAACUACUGUGAGAAUGCCUUCAAAACUGACCACUUAGCUUCUAAUUGGUCACUUAUAAAAAAUAAUCCUAAAGGUUUUAAUAAUAUUGAUCUAUCUAUCCUUGAUGAUCACCUAUCUAAUGGUGAAAUUUACAAGACAAUCUUUUCCUUUAAUGCUUUUAAAUAUCCAGGACCAGAUCGUUUGCAUCCCUUUUUCUACCAAAAACAUUGUAACAUUAUAGGUAAAUUAGUUAUAAAUCUUUGUACUCAUGUUUUUAAUACUCAAUCUGUACCUCCAUGAUAUCAACAACACAUAAAUUUUUCUAAUCCUCAAAGUCUCCAAUGCCAAUAACCUCAUAAAUUUUAGACUCAUAGGACUUUGUUAUACUAUUUAUAAAAUCAUUACAAAAAUCAUUUCUAAUCGAAUUCAACCUUUUCUCAACAAAAUCAUAAGCCCUUUCCAAUCUAGUUUCAUAAAAGGGAGAAGGUCUCCUGAUAAUGCAAUCAUAAGACGAGAAUUGAUGUGCCAGUGUAAAAAAAUUGAGAGAGAAAGGGAAGCAUGAUUCUAAAAUUAGAUCUAGGAAAAGUUUUCGAUAUAUUAGAAUGGUCAUUCAUCCACUUAACCCUUUCUUACUUCAAAUUCCAUACUAAGAUAAAAAAUCUCAUUACGAAUUAUAUCAGUACUUCUAAAAUUAUCAUUUUAGUAAAUGGUACGACAACCUCUUUCUAUGCACCAAGAAGGGGUAUCAGACAAGGCUGCCCCCUAUCCCCCUUAUUGAUUUUAUGUAUGAAAAUGCUAUCUCGUCAAAUCUGCCACCAAGUAAAUAUCAAUCUUUAGGACCAUAUUUGCCUAAGCAACCAUCACAUUAGUAUCUCCCACUUGUUCUUCGUAAAAGAUCAUACUCUAAUGGAAAAAGCUGAUUAAAAAAACCUCAAAACAAUCAAAGAAUGCCUUAAUACCUUUUGCAAUAUGUCUAGUCAAAACAUCAAUUGCGGAAAUCAUAGAUCAUGUUCUCUCAUAAUUGUCCUAUCCAUGUCAGCAAAGAAAUUGCCUCAGAAUUUAAUAUCAAUACAGCUAAUAAGUUUGGUAAUUAUCCAAAAUUUUCAAUCCUUUAACAAUGCCCCCAAAGCAAUUGAAAACCAAUUCAUUAUCGAUACAAUGCGGGCUAAACUUUCAAAUUGGAAAAUAAGUUUUCUAAACAUAGAAGAUAGGACUACCUUUGCCCUUGCUACCUUCAAUUCUAUUCCAAAUCAUGUCGUGCAGUACACAUUGUUCCCCAAAAAAACUCUUAAGCAUAUUGAUCAAAUCCAAAGGAAUUUUAUUUGGGACACUACAUCAAAUUAAAAAAAACUUUACCUUACUAAUUGGAACACUGUUACCAAGCCCAAAGCUAUAGAAGGUCUAGGAAUGAAAGAUGCUCUAUCAAAAAAUAAAGUCUUACGCAGUAGUCUCUCUUGAAGACUUAUUAAUAAGACCUCCUCACCCUAGACAAACCUCCUAAUCCGCAAAUAUUGUAAGAAAAAUUUGAUACACACCUCCUUCAGAUGGAAAAGUGUUGUUACUGUCUGGAAAACUUGUAAACAAGGUAUCCAAUGGCUUCCUGACAAAAACUCUAAUCUUAACAGUUGGGAAACCCAAUGGAUCCCUCAACUCCCUACAAUUAGAGCUUGCAUUGAGGGUCUUUUAAAUUGUAAUGAAGUUACCCUUCCUAUUAAGGAAUUAUAUCACAAAGGAAGACGGAAUUUUCAAAAAACAUCCCUUGUUAUUCCUCCUUCAAUCAUGGAAAAAAUUAACUUUACCCUUUACUCCUCCAAAACUUAGACAAACCCCUUUCGACUCAGCCGAAAACGGGCUAUUAAUACAAAAUUUUGCUACAAAUUAUUAAACCAAGGGGACAUUGGUAAUCAAGACUUUGAGUGGAUAUGAAAAAUGCCUUACCCUAAUAAAAUUAAAUAUUUUCUUUUUGCAAAUCCUCCACAAUAAGAUUCCUUUCCGUUCAUAUUUCCAUCAUAUUGGAAUCUAUAUAAACCUCAAUUGCCCUAAUUGCAAAGACCAAGAGGAAACCAUCACUUAUAUUUUUCUCACAUGCCCCAUCGUCUUAGCUAUAUGGAGUUAGAUUAACAUCAAAAAUAUGAUCACUAAUCAAGAUAAUCAUUGUCUAACCAAGCUGAAAGACAACAUCAACCCAAUCCCCCUAAAAAUUCCUUGGAGUAAUCUUCUACCUUUCCUCCUAUGGGGAAUCUGGAUCAAUAGAAAUAACAAUAUUAAUAACACCCAUUAUUCCCCUCAUAUGAAACAUAUUUGUAAUCUAGCCUUUGAAAUCCUUUUUUUCAAUUCCACUGGAUCAACAAUUAAAUCCAUCAUUGUGAUAAAAUCGUAAACCCCCCCCCCCC
This 39514-nucleotide long non-coding RNA is filed under the name Nicotiana benthamiana. Its description in RNAcentral is "long non-coding RNA (NBEN_LNC003703)". Lineage: Eukaryota; Viridiplantae; Streptophyta; Magnoliopsida; Solanales; Solanaceae. The record is from RNAcentral.